GGAGGGUUAAGACAAAUCAUUGUUGUUCUUUUGCAACAAAAAUUUUAUCAUGUAACAUAUUGGUUUGAGCAGCACUAAUGCUAGCCUUUUCAGUAGUAAUUCAACAUUCAUGUGCUAGCACCCCCCCCCCCCCCCAAAAAAAAUACAAAGAUUACAACCUGUUAGCAUGUUAACGUGCCAGCUGUAAAUGUACCAGCUAAACAACGCUGCCAUGUGUAGCAGCAUUCAAUUCAUGUUCUGAUUAUACUGGGUUUAUCUUAAAAAGCACAACUUCACUGACGGUGCAACAUGUUAGCAUACUCAUGCUAGCUUGUUAUUCUCCUCACAUUACUGUUCUAACUUUAUGCAUGCUGCUAACUGAGCUUUUAUCUGAUUUAUGAAUGUGCUGACAACUAUUAAUCAGCAUGACAACAAUCCCACAACCAAACAUCAGACACUCAGCAGCUUCACAAUUCUUUCUACUACACGCCACUAUGCUAAUGUUGGCCACAGUGUUAACUUUCCUAAUGUACAAAUGCUACUAAGCAUAUGAGCAUAGAUCAACUGUUAGUGUGGUCUUAUUCAGCAGCAACUAAGGCAAAAUCUUAAAAUUUUGAAUGUUUUUGUGAAGUGACAUAACUUCAUCACUAUGCUAACA
Thalassophryne amazonica is the source of this 637-nucleotide long non-coding RNA. RefSeq lists it as uncharacterized. Lineage: Eukaryota; Metazoa; Chordata; Actinopteri; Batrachoidiformes; Batrachoididae. The transcript is spliced from 3 exons. The record is from RefSeq and is a predicted model, not a curated record.